This 354-nucleotide unclassified non-coding RNA is filed under the name Saccharomyces cerevisiae (brewer's yeast). Lineage: Eukaryota; Fungi; Ascomycota; Saccharomycetes; Saccharomycetales; Saccharomycetaceae. The record is from RNAcentral.
UAGGAAAGUCAUAAAUAUAUAAAUUAUAUUAUAUAAUUAAUAUAAUAAUAAAUAAAUUAUAUAUUUUAUUUAUAAUAUUAUUUCUUUAUAAUAUAAAAUAUUAUCUGAUGAAUAAUUAGAUUUAAUAAUAUUUAUAAAGAAAUAUAUAUAAAAAGUUAUUAUAUAAAUUUAAUUAUAAUUUAAAUAAAUUUUAUAUAAAUUAAUAUAAUAUUAAUAAAGUAAUUAGUAUAAAUAAAUAAUAUGAAAAUAAAACUUAAUAAAUAUAUAAAUAUAAUCCAUAUAUAUAUAUUAAUAAAAAAAAGUAAUAUAUAUAUAUAUUGGAAUAGUUAUAUUAUUAUACAGAAAUAUGCUUAA